RNAcentral lists this long non-coding RNA (476 nucleotides) under Nicotiana benthamiana. Its description in RNAcentral is "long non-coding RNA (NBEN_LNC034489)". Lineage: Eukaryota; Viridiplantae; Streptophyta; Magnoliopsida; Solanales; Solanaceae. The record is from RNAcentral.
UGUGAACAAUAAAUUAAACCAAAGCUAGAUAUUACUAGAAUAUUUUAGACUAUUCUAAAAUAGUCUAGAAUGAGCUAGAAUGUUCUAGAAGGUUCGAGAACAUUAUGGAGUUCUCUGGAACAUUCUAGAAGAUGAUAGAAACUCUUUUAUGUAUAGUAGAGAAUGUGAGAUUAUUCUAGAGUAGUGGAAUAUUCUAGAACAUAUGAGAAUAGGUAGAUAUGAAUAUUGUUUAGGAUACUUAUAUGGAAUAUUCUAGAAUGUCGUAGAACACGGAGGUUGAUGCCUAUAAAUAGGGGAAGACCUCCUCAUUUGUAAGAUGUAAAAAAGGAGUGAAACAAAGUGUGAGCCCAAGUGUGUACCAAAGUGAUCCCUUGUAUAAUAAAAGUUGAAGAAUUACAAAAGUCUCUCUCCAUAUAGCUACAUAUAUUAAACCUUCCAAACUACCUCCAUUUCUUCAUUUAUCAACUAAACAAAAU